UAGGGCUCACUGGGAGGGACCAGAACCACAUGGGCCCCAGCCCCACCAUCCACUGUCAUGAGAGUGGGUGGGGAGGGUGGGGGAGUCUUUGCUGAGUGAACAGCACAGUAUCCCAGGUCUUCAUCGGCCUUGCGGGGUGUAGAAGAGAGGACUCCGGCAGUCCUGACCACUCUCCGUCAAGAGUAAUCAGGUUUACCUGAGAAGCAGCAGUGAGCCUGCCAAGUGAGCGGAGAGAUGAUGGCACCCUUCUGGCUGACUGAGCUGGAGACCUCCAGGGAGACUCUCAUAUGUAGUUGACACGUCCUCCAUCAGCCUGGGUCUCUAAGUGACUGCAUGGAGCAGAGCAUUCCACACCCUCAUCACCAACCAGGAUGACUUGAGACUUCACUGGGCUCUAAAGCACAGCACAAAGUGAAGGUCAGUCAGCACAUAAUUGUAGGAACAUUGCUGUGUUGAAAGCAGACUUCAUUACCCUCGAGUCAUCAAUCCUUCCCUGCAGCACAGCAGCAGCUGAAACCCUCUGAGGAAUGGCAUGUCACAAGCCCAGCUCAGGGCUCCCUGUCGAGCUACACUCAGCAAAUUGAAGAUCAUGCUCCCUAUUAAGCUCCUGGCUGGUGCAUCACGCUUUCCAGUCUCCUGCCCCUGAUGAGAGUAGCAGAGAGGAAGGGAGCCCCGGCAGAUGCCCCUUCAGGCUGAAGCAGAAACCCCAGUGAAGGCCGUGGUCCAAGCCCUCCCCUGCUUCCUAUCUUCUGCCUCCUGACCCCCCUGGUGUUUUCCUAAGUGGCUCUGGGUGGUGUGCUCUGACUGCUGUCUCUAGGACCUGUGUUCUAAUUGGCAGGCAGCAUCUCCUCAGCAGUGGUGCUUCAUGAAUCGGCAACACGUGGUUUCCAAGUUGGCUGUCCUUGCUGGAAGGGGUACAACCCGAAUCCCUGAGCGUUAUAUAAAAACAAGCAUAAGAAGACUCUGAGAGCUGAAGAGAAGCAGGCAGAUUGGCCAUGGACCUCAGGAUCCAAGGAACAAUGUAGCAGUGAUUUCCCUGGGUUUUCUUCCUUGCUUCAUGAAUCCUGGGCUGAGUGUCAGAAACGCCAAUGAGGACAGACAUAAAAGCAGCGAGAAAAGCCUGGUCUCUCUAACCAAGGGGCCAGCAAACGGGCAGCCUCAUAAGACAGACGUCUUGCAGACACCUCUCUUCAAGUCAAACAUUAUCCCACCCCCAUGAGCCAAAGCUGAAUGUGGAGCCGAGGUGCCCACCCUUGCCUGACAGUUUGUUACCAGUCACCCCUCAUCCUGCCCUGACCACAGAGGUGUCAGAGCUGGGCAGUCAGAGAGCUGAAACUUGAGUGUCAGCAGUAACAAGGACCCUGCUGGCCAGGUUGUCAGCGGACGUCACUUGGGAAGUAGUAACUAGGCACUCCUAUCCCCACAAUGACAACCCAGAAUUCUACAGCCAGUGGAAACAACCUUGAGGAAUAAAGGGGAAAUCAAGAUGCUCACAGCUGAAGGAAAGCUAAAGGGAUUUGUUGCCAGAUUGACCCUCAGAUAAUGGCUUAAGGAAGUUCUGUAAACAGAAGAUGAAAAAAGAAAGAAACCUUGGAACAUCAGGAAGGAAGGCAGUACAAGAGAGUAAAAUUGAGUUGGUAUAACUUGCUUUCCUUUUUCUCUUUGGUCUUCUAAAUCGCCAUUGAGGCAAAAUUAGGACAAUUUCUGAUAUGGUUAUUGUGUAUGCAGAGGAGACUUUUUAGAUGAUUAUAUUAUAAAUGGGAGAGGGUAAAGAGAGGUAAACUUUCAUUUACACUAGCAAAG
This is a non-coding RNA of Odocoileus virginianus texanus, 1803 nucleotides long. The record is from RefSeq and is a predicted model, not a curated record. Lineage: Eukaryota; Metazoa; Chordata; Mammalia; Artiodactyla; Cervidae.